UGUGUGUGUAUUGUUUAGUGUGUGUGUGUGUGUGUGUUUAUGUGUGUGUGUGUGUGUUUAGUGUGUGUGUAUUGUUUAGUGUGUGUGUGUGUGUCUUCCUCCAUUGAUAAGGACUGUGUGUGUAUUGUUUAUGUGUGUGUGUGUGUGUUUAGUGUGUGUGUGUGUGUAUUGUGUUAUGUGUGUGUGUGUGUCUUCCUCCAUUGAUAAGGACUGUGUGUGUAUUGUUUAAUGUGUGUGUGUGUGUGUGUGUGUGUGUGUUUAGUGUGUGUGUAUUGUUUAGUGUGUGUGUGUGUGUGACUGUGUGUGUGUCUUCCUCCAUUGAUAAGGACUGUGUGUGUAUUGUUUAAUGUGUGUGUGUGUGUGUGUGUGUGUGUGUGUCUUCCUCCAUUGAUAAGGACUGUGUGUGUGUUAUAACAUGGAUGUAGUGAGAGAUUUACUCCCCCGGGACAAACGGUGACCUCAUUGUUCACUGCAACAUAAUUCAUCUGUAAUUCUCUCUCUCGUUCUGCAGCACAUUGUGUAUGACUCACUCCCGUGUUUCUGCUGUUUCCCCCCGACCACCACACACACACACACACACACACACACACAGAGAAUCCUUAUCAGUGGAGGAAGAGGAGGAAGCGAGAGCAGAAUCAUUUG
This 642-nucleotide long non-coding RNA is filed under the name Salmo salar (Atlantic salmon). RNAcentral's name for it is "lncRNA (ENSSSAG00000091913.1)". Lineage: Eukaryota; Metazoa; Chordata; Actinopteri; Salmoniformes; Salmonidae. The record is from RNAcentral.